GAUCAUGGCUAAGGACGAACGCUGGCGGCACGCUUAACACAUGCAAGUCGAACGAGAGAAGAGAAGCUUGCUUUUCUGAUCUAGUGGCGGACGGGUGAGUAACACGUGAGCAGUCUGCCUUUCAGAGGGGGAUACCGAUUGGAAACGAUCGUUAAUACCGCAUAAUAUAAUUGAACCGCAUGAUUUGAUUAUCAAAGAUUUAUCGCUGAAAGAUGAGCUCGCGU
This 224-nucleotide ribosomal RNA is filed under the name uncultured bacterium. RNAcentral describes it as "partial 16S ribosomal RNA". It matches the Rfam family "Bacterial small subunit ribosomal RNA", at positions 15 to 236 of the family's 1533-position model. The record is from RNAcentral.